Molecule: ribosomal RNA, 498 nt
Filed under: uncultured bacterium
Lineage: Bacteria
Description: bacterial SSU rRNA
Rfam family: Bacterial small subunit ribosomal RNA
Source: RNAcentral
GAUGAACGCUAGCGGGAGGCCUAACACAUGCAAGCCGAGCGGUAUAGUUUCUUCGGAAACUAGAGAGCGGCGUACGGGUGCGUAACACGUGUGCAACUUACCUUUAUCUGGGGAAUAGCCUUUCGAAAGGGAGAUUAAUACCCCAUAAUAUAUUAGAUGGCAUCAUUUGAUAUUGAAAACUCCGGUGGAUAGAGAUGGGCACGCGCAAGAUUAGAUAGUUGGUGAGGUAACGGCUCACCAAGUCAAUGAUCUUUAGGGGUCCUGAGAGGGAGAUCCCCCACACUGGUACUGAGACACGGACCAGACUCCUACGGGAGGCAGCAGUGAGGAAUAUUGGACAAUGGGUGAAAGCCUGAUCCAGCCAUCCCGCGUGAAGGAUGACGGUCCUAUGGAUUGUAAACUUCUUUUGUAUAGGGAUAAACCUAGAUACGUGUAUCUAGCUGAAGGUACUAUACGAAUAAGCACCGGCUAACUCCGUGCCAGCAGCCGCAGUAAAAC